UUUUGCUAAAAGGAGAAGCGAGAUCUCUUUAUCCAGAAAAAUCCAGAGUUCCCAAGUCUCCUUCCACUCCCCCUCCCCCUGAAACUUGGUGAUCAGUAGAUAAAAGCGGUAAGAUGAUGUUAUCACAGGCCAAAGUAAAGUGGGUGCCUUGUGCAUUUUCUUCUCAAAUGUCAUCUUUCCCAAGCCCCCCUCAGAUUCUCCAUCAUUCCGUAUCUCUGCCUUGAACCCCAAAAGAAAUCGUGGCGUUUUUGCGGAAGAAACCUCAGCUGAUGCUUCUGCCCCCUCAGCUCUCCUUCAGAAAGAGGAUGUACAUAAACUCGGGGUGGUGGUGAAGCCAAUGGAGAAACCUAGUAUAGUGUUGAAGUUUAUUUGGAUGGAGAAGAAUAUUGGAAUUGCGCUGGACCAGGUAAUUCCUGGUCAUGGUACAGUUCCUGUGAGCCCUUAUUAUUUCUGGCCUAGAAAAGAUGCUUGGGAGGAGCUUAAAGUCUUGCUGGAUAGUAAGCCCUGGAUAUCCCAGAAGCAGAUGAUCAUUCUCCUUAACCAGGCCACUGAUAUCAUCAAUUUGUGGCAACAGAGUGGUGGUGAUUUAGCGUAAGCUGUCAUCGAGCAAGAUUUAUCUUGCUGCCACUGAAUGUCAUAAUUCUGUUUGUUGUAACUUAUUUCACUUAAAAAGGUUAGUACCUAUUAAAAAAAUUCACUUAAAAUGUUAGUCAAUUCUUGUAGAUUUCCUCAAUUCUUUUCAUAUUAUGAAUUGCAAUUUAGACCUUGUAAUUGAUGAUGUUACAGAGUUUUUGUAAUCCCAAGAUGAUUUCUUUUUUCCUA
Nicotiana tabacum (common tobacco) is the source of this 822-nucleotide long non-coding RNA. RefSeq lists it as uncharacterized. The record is from RefSeq and is a predicted model, not a curated record. NCBI's taxonomy places the organism in Eukaryota, Viridiplantae, Streptophyta, Magnoliopsida, Solanales, Solanaceae.